CCUACGGGUGGCUGCAGUGGGGAAUAUUGGACAAUGGGGGGAACCCUGAUCCAGCGACGCCGCGUGAGUGAAGAAGUAUUUCGGUAUGUAAAGCUCUAUCAGCAGGGAAGAAAGAAAGGACGGUACCUGACUAAGAAGCCCCGGCUAACUACGUGCCAGCAGCCGCGGUAAUACGUAGGGGGCAAGCGUUAUCCGGAUUUACUGGGUGUAAGGGGAGCGUAGACGGUUACGCAAGUCUGGAGUGAAAGGCGGGGGCACAACCCCCGGACUGCUUUGGAAACUGUAUAACUGGAGUGCAGGAGAGGUAAGUGGAAUUCCUAGUGUAGCGGUGAAAUGCGUAGAUAUUAGGAGGAACACCAGUGGCGAAGGCGGCUUACUGGACUGCAACUGACGUUGAGGCUCGAAAGCGUGGGGAGCAAACAGGAUUAGAUACCCUAGUAGUC
Molecule: ribosomal RNA, 443 nt
Filed under: uncultured bacterium
Lineage: Bacteria
Description: partial 16S ribosomal RNA
Rfam family: Bacterial small subunit ribosomal RNA
Source: RNAcentral